GCUAUACUUAUCCCCCACACCUCCUUGAAUCUCACAGCGCGCCAUCACUCUGCCAUUCUGCUGCAAUUCACUGUCAGUGUGUUCAAGGAAGUUUGAAAAAAAAUGCCCUAACAAAUACAACAACAAGAAGAGAGGCAGAGAAGGCAGUGUCCAAGUGGCUAAUCGGUGCCAGGGACAGGGGAGGUUAUCGCACUGCCAGGGCACGAGUUGGACAACAAGAUGGGGCCGUUGGUACAGUGACAACAGAGGAGUGAGGAGCUGCCCUAAUGUUGUUUUGUUUGUAUUGUUCUAUGCAGUUAAUUAGUUGAAGUUUAUUAAACUUUUUAAAGAGUUAAUUAAAGUGUUGCUCCACAAAAAAAGAAAAAAAUGUCAUAAAUUACUUUUCCUCAUGUCGUUCCACACCUGCAAGACCUUUGUUCAUCUUCAAAACACAAAUAUAUAACACAAAAAGAUAUUUUUUAUGAGAUCAGUGAGCUUAAUUUGUGUUCUGAAGAUGAUUGAAGCUCUUAUGGGUUUGAAACGACAUGAGGGUGAGUAAUUAAUGACAAAAAUAAUAAUUUUAGGAUG
Long non-coding RNA from Paramisgurnus dabryanus, 567 nucleotides. RefSeq lists it as uncharacterized. The record is from RefSeq and is a predicted model, not a curated record. Lineage: Eukaryota; Metazoa; Chordata; Actinopteri; Cypriniformes; Cobitidae.